GACGAACGCUGGCGGCGUGCUUAACACAUGCAAGUCGAACGGAAAGGCCCUGCUUUUGUGGGGUGCUCGAGUGGCGAACGGGUGAGUAACACGUGAGUAACCUGCCCUUGACUUUGGGAUAACUUCAGGAAACUGGGGCUAAUACCGGAUAGGAGCUCCCGCUGCAUGGGGGGGGUUGGAAAGUUUCGGCGGUUGGGGAUGGACUCGCGGCUUAUCAGCGUGUUGGUGGGGUAGUGGCUUACCAAGGCUUUGACGGGUAGCCGGCCUGAGAGGGUGACCGGCCACAUUGGGACUGAGAUACGGCCCAGACUCCUACGGGAGGCAGCAGUGGGGAAUAUUGCACAAUGGGCGGAAGCCUGAUGCAGCAACGCCGCGUGCGGGAUGACGGCCUUCGGGUUGUAAACCGCUUUCGCCUGUGACGAAGCGUGAGUGACGGUAAUGGGUAAAGAAGCACCGGCUAGCUACGUG
RNAcentral lists this ribosomal RNA (468 nucleotides) under uncultured bacterium. Its description in RNAcentral is "partial 16S ribosomal RNA". It matches the Rfam family "Bacterial small subunit ribosomal RNA", at positions 28 to 507 of the family's 1533-position model. The record is from RNAcentral.